GUCGCUUUGUUUUGAUUGACAAUGGAGCCUUUACUCGCCCUGCUAAUAAAUUAAAAAUGAUGUCCAGUACACAAGAUAUAGACGAUGGGUCAUACAAGCCACUCAUACAAAUAAUCGACCCAGUUGUUCCUGAAGAAUGUGCAACAAUUACUGUGGAGGAAGAUGGCAGUGGCAACAUUCAAAACAAGGUGAAGUUAUGGAAUCUCUUCCUGGAAAACAUAAAGAAAGAAGUCAUAUUUUGGUCAUGUUUAU
Long non-coding RNA from Penaeus monodon (black tiger shrimp), 252 nucleotides. RefSeq lists it as uncharacterized. The record is from RefSeq and is a predicted model, not a curated record. NCBI's taxonomy places the organism in Eukaryota, Metazoa, Arthropoda, Malacostraca, Decapoda, Penaeidae. The transcript is spliced from 2 exons.